RNAcentral lists this ribosomal RNA (402 nucleotides) under Salilagenidium thermophilum. Its description in RNAcentral is "partial small subunit ribosomal RNA". It matches the Rfam family "Eukaryotic small subunit ribosomal RNA", at positions 30 to 432 of the family's 1831-position model. The record is from RNAcentral. Lineage: Eukaryota; Oomycota; Peronosporomycetes; Pythiales; Lagenidiaceae.
GCUUGUCUCAAAGAUUAAGCCAUGCAUGUCUAAGUAUAAACUGCUUUAUACUGUGAAACUGCGAAUGGCUCAUUAUAUCAGUUAUAGUCUACUCGAUAGUACCUUACUACUUGGAUAACCGUAGUAAUUCUAGAGCUAAUACAUGCGCAAAUACCCAACUGCUUGUCGGACGGGUAGCAUUUAUUAGAUUGAAACCAAUGCAGUCUUCGGGCUGGUAUUGUGUUGAGUCAUAAUAACUGUGCGGAUCGCGUUUUACGCGAUAAAUCGAUUGAGUUUCUGCCCUAUCAGCUUUGGAUGGUAGGAUAUGGGCCUACCAUGGCAUUAACGGGUAACGGGGAAUUAGGGUUCGAUUCCGGAGAAGGAGCCUGAGAAACGGCUACUACAUCUAAGGAAGGCAGCAGG